RNAcentral lists this ribosomal RNA (460 nucleotides) under uncultured bacterium. Its description in RNAcentral is "partial 16S ribosomal RNA". It matches the Rfam family "Bacterial small subunit ribosomal RNA", at positions 338 to 795 of the family's 1533-position model. The record is from RNAcentral.
CCUACGGGAGGCAGCAGUGAGGAAUAUUGGUCAAUGGACGAGAGUCUGAACCAGCCAAGUAGCGUGAAGGAUGACUGCCCUAUGGGUUGUAAACUUCUUUUAUAUGGGAAUAAAACGUUCCACGUGUGGGAUUUUGUAUGUACCAUAUGAAUAAGGAUCGGCUAACUCCGUGCCAGCAGCCGCGGUAAUACGGAGGAUCCGAGCGUUAUCCGGAUUUAUUGGGUUUAAAGGGAGCGUAGGUGGAUUGUUAAGUCAGUUGUGAAAGUUUGCGGCUCAACCGUAAAAUUGCAGUUGAAACUGGCAGUCUUGAGUACAUGAGAGGUGGGCGGAAUUCGUGGUGUAGCGGUGAAAUGCUUAGAUAUCACGAAGAACUCCGAUUGCGAAGGCAGUUCACUGGACUGCAACUGACACUGAGGCUCGAAAGUGUGGGUAUCAAACAGGAUUAGAUACCCUUGUAGUC